GCCCGCGUGGCGCAAUUGGUUAGCGCGUCAGACUUUUACGAUCGAGUGAAGUGAUCUGAAUGUUGCGAGUUCGAGUCUCGCCGUGGGCG
This 89-nucleotide transfer RNA is filed under the name Copromyces sp. CBS 386.78. Its description in RNAcentral is "tRNA-Lys". It matches the Rfam family "tRNA". From Rfam's summary of the family: Transfer RNA (tRNA) molecules are approximately 80 nucleotides in length. Their secondary structure includes four short double-helical elements and three loops (D, anti-codon, and T loops). Lineage: Eukaryota; Fungi; Ascomycota; Sordariomycetes; Sordariales; Sordariaceae. The record is from RNAcentral.